Molecule: ribosomal RNA, 281 nt
Filed under: uncultured Staphylococcus sp.
Lineage: Bacteria; Bacillati; Bacillota; Bacilli; Caryophanales; Staphylococcaceae
Description: partial 16S ribosomal RNA
Rfam family: Bacterial small subunit ribosomal RNA
Source: RNAcentral
CUCCUUUGACGUUAGCGGCGGACGGGUGAGUAACACGUGGGUAACCUACCUAUAAGACUGGGAUAACUUCGGGAAACCGGAGCUAAUACCGGAUAAUAUUUCGAACCGCAUGGUUCGAUAGUGAAAGGUGGUUUUGCUAUCACUUAUAGAUGGACCCGCGCCGUAUUAGCUAGUUGGUAAGGUAACGGCUUACCAAGGCGACGAUACGUAGCCGACCUUAGAGGGUGAUCGGCCACACUGGAACUGAGACACGGUCCAGACUCCUACGGGAGGCAGCAGCU